AUUACGAGCUAAAAUACUUUAGUGAAGCUUUAACAGACUACUGGUUCGCUGAAUUUACAUCUUUCAUUAGCUUAGCUAUCAGGGCUAGUUGAAGUAGUUUCCUUUAAAAAAAUCAAAGUUAAUAGCACGAACCAGGAUCAGUUUUUGCAUAGUGCGAAUCACGAUCAAUCACCCUACUUUCUCCUAGCCAAGCAAAGAGGCUUCAUUAUCCUACAGAACCUGCGUCAGAACGUUAACUGCUGACGCGUCGAGCCUGAUAUUUGAAGACUUCAGCGCUUAUUCUGAGUGUGCCAAAUGGUUAAAACGCCGCAGAGCAUCUAUCGCAGCACGACAAGAAUACGAAAAUGACAAGUUUGCUGCUGAAAGUCUUGCUGUUUCCGUCGGUUUGCAAAAGGUUAUACAAUUAUCGAGGAUGGAACAUUUCAAUGACGUUAUGUUUUCCAAGAGAAUCGUUGCUCCUAAUGAGACAUUCGCAUCAAUAGGAGGAUGGACUAUAGGUGGCAGGAAUGCAGCGGACAAUUCUUCCAGUCAGAACAAGAAUAGGAAUUAGAUAAUUCAUAUGAUACUGUUAGUGAUUUCGCCCCUUAUCAUAACUGAUGAAAUCACCUUCAAAUAUUUUGAGUCAGGACAUACGUUUAUGUCGGUAAAGUAUUCGGAAAUACCAAACAGGUGAACUUUACAUAUUUUCGGACUUCGUUGAAUGUGUCGUGCAGUCUAAUGAUGAAAUCAACUUAUUUUUUGCUGUCAUAAGUUUUUUUGAAAGAUUUACAUUACGUUGAAACCAUCUGUUCUGAGCUUUAGUUUGCCUCACCCGAAAUCAUCUGAGGUGAAACAGGUUCAAUUCACGCGAGGGUGUUUCGAUUUCAGAUACGAGACGUAUUUUGAAGGAGAAUUCCAGAACGUCAAACUGUUUACACUACUAUAACUGGGGAAAGUUCAGAAGUCAACGUUUAAUCUUCAUUCAACUCUCCAAUCCAAUAGCACGGAUAGAAGAAUCGAAAAAUCAAGGAAGGAGAGCAUUGUGUCGAAAUUGGGGUUGAUCUUUAAAUUAAUUGAUGAAUUCUGAUUACUGAUAAUAUUAUUCUAGUCAAAACUGUAUAAUAUAGGUUUACCCAAUAGAGUUUUGGUUCGCUAAUAGCAAUGGUUUAAUUAGCUUUUUAUUACCUGAACCACUUUCCCACCGAAGUGGCGAUGUACUCAAUCACUCGUGAAAGUCUCAGUUUCCACAACACUAUACUUUCGUACACUUUAACUGUUUCCAUAGAAUAACUUUUACAAUAUUAUAAAGUAGUUCAGAAAUCACUUUCAUUUCCAAUAGUUGUUACUUCAGAGGCGGAAAACUUUUGACAGCUCUUACAACGAUACGAUCAAGGCCAACUUGAUUUCCAAAUUUAGAGCGAAUGUGAUAUGGUUAUUUCACUUGGGAACAUGAUUAUUCGCUGCCAUCCAGGAUAGAAAUUAGCGAAUAAAACUAAGUUUUUAGUUAC
This is a long non-coding RNA of Wyeomyia smithii (pitcher-plant mosquito), 1487 nucleotides long. RefSeq lists it as uncharacterized. Lineage: Eukaryota; Metazoa; Arthropoda; Insecta; Diptera; Culicidae. The record is from RefSeq and is a predicted model, not a curated record. The transcript has 3 exons.